CCUCCAUUCUUAACUGUUAAAUCACUAAAAUUCAGUCUCUUAUCCCGUCUCUCAUUCUUCAAUCCCUAAAGUCUCUCACUAUUCCCCCUCUCUCAUUCUCUUCGCCCAAAUGUAUGAAACAUAGCGAUUGUAGCAGGGUUCGUCGGCAAUUUCUUCGCACUCAGCUCAAUCGGCGGAUUCGUCGCCGGUCUUUGUACAGCAGGCCACGGUCAUCGCCGUUGUCACCGCUGCGGCCUCCAUCGUAGUCAUCGUCAAAGGUCGCGGUUGUGCCCUCAGCUCUGAUCCUUCUUCAUUGUUCGCAGGUCCAAGAGUUCAUCUUAAGAUGCAUCUAAGCUUUUCUUUGCUACAAGCCGGUUCAAGUAGGUUGUUCACCAGUAUACAAGAUAGAAAGAAAGCUUGGCAAAGGAGACUUUGGACAAGGAGCUUUAUGCGGAUAUUUAAAUUUCUUAUCCUUUAGGGUUCAGUCCAAAAGUUGCUCAAAGGCUUGUCGCUGCUCUGAGUUGUGACACUAUUAUACUUAUCUUUGUUGUUUAUUCAGCCAAAUAGGAUUUACCUUUAACUUAACACCGGAGAUCAUUCUUCAGGGGUGAGUAUGGCUUUUGGACAGCAUUCUCAGUACUGCUUAUUCUCCUUUUCUUCUUCUUUCCUAGUGAAAUGAAACUUCCAAUUAUUGCAUUAAUGAUGGUAAUACUGUCCCCUUAUCAAGUUUCAAACUUAAGGGGACAAAGGAGGGGGUCGUUCACUUCUUGUGUGGUAGAAUAACUUCACUUUUGUAAAAUAUUGUCUUUAUGUGAUCUGGUCCAACCUAUUCAUUUGCUGAUUUACAGUUUGACUGCUAUUACUUCACUUCUUGAGAAGGAUGAGGAUGAAGUUGGAAUCCUAUCAAAAUCCAUUGUGUUAUUCACAUUCUCUUCUACUUAAACAGGAAAUGUAGGGUAUAUUAUCUGUUGUAGGGUAUUCAGGCUGAAGGUUGUAUGAAUACAUACCACCACUGCCAUACUCUCCAAGCUCCUCAGUUGUUUGAGUUCUCGAAGAUUCACAAUACUACAAGGAAAAGUUAUGACUCUCAAUUCUCAUCGAGGGUGAAAAAUGAUAUUUCAUCAUCUAUGUUGCUUUAUAUUUUUCAUUUACAAUAUUUUUCAGUUAUGUAUACAGUUCAAUUAAUAUGUAGACGGUUGGUUGUACAUGAAUAUUGUUUGAUAUUAUUUGACAAAUAUUCAUUACAAUUAAUUUUCUUUUCAA
Ipomoea triloba (trilobed morning glory) is the source of this 1242-nucleotide long non-coding RNA. RefSeq lists it as uncharacterized. The transcript has 6 exons. The record is from RefSeq and is a predicted model, not a curated record. Lineage: Eukaryota; Viridiplantae; Streptophyta; Magnoliopsida; Solanales; Convolvulaceae.